AGAGUUUGAUCAUGGCUCAGGAUGAACGCUGGCGGUAUGCUUAACACAUGCAAGUCGAACGGAGUACUUCGGUACUUAGUGGCGGACGGGUGAGUAACGCGUGAGAAUCUGCCUUCAGGUUCGGGACAACCACUGGAAACGGUGGCUAAUACCGAAUGUGCAGCAAUGUGAAAAAUUUAUUGCCUGAAGAUGAGCUCGCGUCUGAUUAGCUAGUAGGUGUGGUAAGAGCGCACCUAGGCGACGAUCAGUAGCUGGUCUGAGAGGAUGAUCAGCCACACUGGGACUGAGACACGGCCCAGACUCCUACGGGAGGCAGCAGUGGGGAAUUUUCCGCAAUGGGCGAAAGCCUGACGGAGCAAUACCGCGUGAGGGAGGAAGGCUCUUGGGUUGUAAACCUCUUUUGUCAGGGAAGAACACAAUGACGGUACCUGAAGAAUCAGCAUCGGCUAACUCCGUGCCAGCAGCCGCGGUAAUACGGGGGAUGCAAGCGUUAUCCGGAAUUAUUGGGCGUAAAGCGUCCGCAGGUGGCUAAUCAAGUCUGCUGUCAAAGGUUGGGGCUUAACCCCAAAAAGGCAGUGGAAACUGAGAAGCUAGAGUGCAGUAGGGGUAGAGGGAAUUCCCGGUGUAGCGGUGAAAUGCGUAGAGAUCGGGAAGAACAUCGGUGGCGAAAGCGCUCUACUGGACUGCAACUGACACUCAGGGACGAAAGCUAGGGGAGCGAAUGGGAUUAGAUACCCCCGUAGUCC
This 746-nucleotide ribosomal RNA is filed under the name uncultured cyanobacterium. RNAcentral's name for it is "bacterial SSU rRNA". It matches the Rfam family "Bacterial small subunit ribosomal RNA", at positions 8 to 796 of the family's 1533-position model. The record is from RNAcentral. Lineage: Bacteria; Bacillati; Cyanobacteriota.